This 382-nucleotide ribosomal RNA is filed under the name Pristimantis sp. QCAZ69270. Its description in RNAcentral is "partial large subunit ribosomal RNA". Lineage: Eukaryota; Metazoa; Chordata; Amphibia; Anura; Strabomantidae. The record is from RNAcentral.
CCCACUUGAUUCAGGGUACAACCUUAACUAACGGGUAAUGUUUAAUUAACACCUUUAAGUAGGCCUAAUAGCAGCCACCUUUCAAAAAGCGUCAAAGCUUAACCCUGUUACCUCAAUUUAAAAACUUACACUGACCCCUUUAACUGUAUUGAGAGCUUCUAUAAUUUUAUAGAACCCUUAAUGCUAAAACUAAWAACAAGAGAAAACCCUCCCCCCAAUGCAAGUAUAAGCCAACAAGAACCCAUCGCUGGCAACUAACAUGCCCUUAUGAGUAGAAACUUUCACUARAAAACCCUACCCMCUUCCCCUGUUAACCUAACACCAGAGCAUUUCAAGAAAGAUUAAAAGGGAAAAAAGGAACUCGGCAAACUUUAACCCCGCC